Molecule: ribosomal RNA, 468 nt
Filed under: uncultured bacterium
Lineage: Bacteria
Description: partial 16S ribosomal RNA
Rfam family: Bacterial small subunit ribosomal RNA
Source: RNAcentral
GACGAACGCUGGCGGCGUGCUUAACACAUGCAAGUCGAACGGAAAGGCCCGGCGUUUGUGGGGCGCUUGUUUGCGGAAGGGGGGAGAAAAACGUGAGUAACCUGCCCCUGACUUUGGGAGAACUUCACGGAACUGGGGCUAAAACCGGAGAGGAUAUCCUGCAGCAUGGGGGGCGAUAGAAAGAUACGGCGUUGGGGUAUGGACUCGCGGCUUACCAGCUUGUUGGGGGGGUAGUGGCUGUCCAAGGCUUUGACGGGUAGCCGGCCUGGGAGGGUGACCGGCCACAUUGGGACUGAGAUACGGCCCAGACUCCUACGGGAGGCAGCAGUGGGGAAUAUUGCACAAUGGGCGGAAGCCUGAUGCAGCAACGCCGCGUGCGGGAUGACGGCCUUCGGGUUGUAAACCGCUUUCGCCUGUGACGAAGCGUGAGUGACGGUAAUGGGUAAAGAAGCACCGGCUAACUACGUG